Molecule: small nucleolar RNA, 104 nt
Organism: Lemur catta (Ring-tailed lemur)
Lineage: Eukaryota; Metazoa; Chordata; Mammalia; Primates; Lemuridae
Product: small nucleolar RNA U13
Exons: 1
Source: RefSeq, a predicted model, not a curated record
AUCCUUUUGUAGUUCAUAAGCGUGACGACUGGGUUUUCACACACUGUUUUGAGUUGCACUUCCCUCAAACCUUGCUCCGAUGUUGGCACAUUACCCAUCUGAUG